CCUACGGGUGGCAGCAGUGAGGAAUAUUGGUCAAUGGACGGAAGUCUGAACCAGCCAUGCCGCGUGCAGGAAGACGGCUCUAUGAGUUGUAAACUGCUUUUGUACAAGGGUAAACCUGAAUACGUGUAUUCAGCUGAAAGUACUGUACGAAUAAGGAUCGGCUAACACUGUGCCAGCAGCCGCGGUAAUACGGAGGAUCCACGCGUUAUCCGGAUUUAUGGGGUUUAAAGGGUGAGCAGGCGGAUUGAUAAGUUAGAGGUGAAAUGUCCGGGCUUAACUCGGGAACUGCCGCUAAUACUGGUGAUCUAGAGAGUAGAUGCGGUAGGCGGAAUGUAUGGUGUAGCGGUGAAAUGCUUAGAGAUCAUACAGAACACCGAUGGCGAAGGCAGGUUACCAAUCUAUAUCUGACGUUGAGGCACGAAAGCGUGGGGAGCAAACAGGAUUAGAUACCCUGGUAGUC
This 460-nucleotide ribosomal RNA is filed under the name uncultured bacterium. RNAcentral's name for it is "partial 16S ribosomal RNA". It matches the Rfam family "Bacterial small subunit ribosomal RNA", at positions 338 to 795 of the family's 1533-position model. The record is from RNAcentral.